CUCUUCCCCUCCCCUCGUCUGCAGUAUUUUUGUUAACAAAAGGAUACGCUGGCUUAUAGAAUCGCUGGGCAUUUUCAUGCAACCUCUGCGGGAGAGCUAGUAAAAUACCGUGUAUUGUAGCUGAGAAAAGGAGUUUCUGGGCCGCCAGCGUUUUGCAGAAGUCCCUCCGUGCUAGCCUUGUGCACUAGGAACAGCAGAGAUUGACCAAAGAAGAGCAAAUAGUGCAUGCAGCCCUGCUGUCCCGGAAACCCCUACCUUCCCACACCGUACGCAAGGACAGCGGUCGCCGGGAGACACCCCUAUGAUGCCUGUCACCUGCAGCGAUGGGAUCAAAUUCUAUCACAGCAACCUCCAGGGAGGCUCUAGGAAAGGCUCCUUUCCUUGGCUGCUUCACGCAAGCGUGCAAGAGAGCUGCACCCCUUCCAAAAACUCGCCCUUUGCGAUACAGUGUGCCGGGGUAGCACAAGCACUCUGACUGACUCCAACACGCUCUACCAUUUACCGCUAUCCGAGUUGAUUUGCAAAGUGAACAGGUCUCUUAAGUGCCAAACAGAUACAGGUAGAUGAUACAGGCAGCUAAUUGAAGAGCUAUCUCCUCUAAACAGACUGGUGUAAACUAAUUACAUGAUGUAGCACAUGCUGCCACCUACGUGUUGUGAUUCAGAUUUCUUGUGCACUGCAGCUUCGCAGUUGUAGGCAUCCUCCCUCCGCUGAAGGCAGCGACAGCGUUUUGUGAGACGCAGCUGCCUGCUACGCGAGGGGACCACAAACACAAGCGGCCGUGGCUGCGCUAGGGAACAAGGCAAAACAUUUCGCGCCGGUGCAGCCACUUGUCCGGUUGCAGCGAGGAUGCCUCAGCGUAGACCAGCACCCAGCAGUCACAUCGGCGAAACGAGAAGAACUUGUUUCUUUUCAAUAUCUGGCUGCCAAAGGGAACAUGCUGUUUACUGGACUCAGGACCAAGGCAGGGCAAGAACAAAGAGCAGGUCUUGCAGGGACUGAGAAGAUUUUACAUACAGACAUUAAAAUAAAAAAGCAAAAUGUAACCAGGCACAAAGUCCAGCAGGAAUCUAGCAACGAGUGGACAGCACAACGUGUAAAAAAGGGUAUCUAGGCAAGGAUGGCAAAAGGAUCCUCUGAAUAAGCUCA
Molecule: long non-coding RNA, 1149 nt
Filed under: Struthio camelus australis
Lineage: Eukaryota; Metazoa; Chordata; Aves; Struthioniformes; Struthionidae
Description: lncRNA (ENSSCUG00000007803.1)
Source: RNAcentral